AAGAUUCGAGUAGCGUCUCGCUGCAACCUGCGGUGGACAUCCAACCCCGCCCACAUCCAGGCAUGACGUCAGUUACCACGUCCAUUCACAUCUCACUCCAACACAGUAGAUGGCGAUAAUGUACCUUAUGUUGGUGCUUCCCGAAGAAGAGAGAAAGCACGAAGUUGAAGUACUAAAGUUGUUUACCACGUCGGAUUACAGAAAGAACAUAAAGUGGAAGUUCAUAAGGAACAUUGGUCCAGCAUGGUCCUGGGUAGAGAGUCACAGCAAGAUAUUCCUUGGAGAGGUGAUGGAGCCUGUCUUUCUCCAGAUGGAUUUGUUUUCGAAUAUCUGGAGGAUCUGAACACGUUUAUUUCAAACUGUUAUGAGGAACAAGGCCUGUACGGGCCAUGAAAUAUUCUUGUUCAAUAAUAAAUACAAGAAAUGCC
Non-coding RNA from Misgurnus anguillicaudatus (oriental weatherfish), 428 nucleotides. The record is from RefSeq and is a predicted model, not a curated record. NCBI's taxonomy places the organism in Eukaryota, Metazoa, Chordata, Actinopteri, Cypriniformes, Cobitidae.